GCCUGGAUAGCUCAGUUUUAGAGUGUGUGACUCUUAAUCUCAGGGUUGUAAGUUCGAGUCCCACAUUGGGUU
RNAcentral lists this transfer RNA (72 nucleotides) under Felis catus (domestic cat). It matches the Rfam family "tRNA". Rfam says of the family: Transfer RNA (tRNA) molecules are approximately 80 nucleotides in length. Their secondary structure includes four short double-helical elements and three loops (D, anti-codon, and T loops). RNAcentral also lists the same sequence under 4 other names. Lineage: Eukaryota; Metazoa; Chordata; Mammalia; Carnivora; Felidae. The record is from Rfam by way of RNAcentral.